RNAcentral lists this ribosomal RNA (522 nucleotides) under uncultured microorganism. Its description in RNAcentral is "bacterial SSU rRNA". It matches the Rfam family "Bacterial small subunit ribosomal RNA", at positions 9 to 511 of the family's 1533-position model. The record is from RNAcentral.
GAGUUUGAUCAUGGCUCAGGAUGAACGCUGGCGGCGUGCCUAAUACAUGCAAGUCGAGCGAACAGACGAGGAGCUUGCUCCUCUGACGUUAGCGGCGGACGGGUGAGUAACACGUGGAUAACCUACCUAUAAGACUGGGAUAACUUCGGGAAACCGGAGCUAAUACCGGAUAAUAUAUUGAACCGCAUGGUUCAAUAGUGAAAGACGGUUUUGCUGUCACUUAUAGAUGGAUCCGCGCCGCAUUAGCUAGUUGGUAAGGUAACGGCUUACCAAGGCAACGAUGCGUAGCCGACCUGAGAGGGUGGUCGGCCACACUGGAACUGAGACACGGUCCAGACUCCUACGGGAGGCAGGCAGUAGGGAAUCUUCCGCAAUGGGCGAAAGCCUGACGGAGCAACGCCGCGUGAGUGAUGAAGGUCUUCGGAUCGUAAAACUCUGUUAUUAGGGAAGAACAAAUGUGUAAGUAACUAUGCACGUCUUGACGGUACCUAAUCAGAAAGCCACGGCUAACUACGUAGCCAG